AUUGAAAUAAAAAAGGUUCUUCAUGGAUAAGCUUCUAGAGCAAUUCGUUCAGGAGAGUUUUUAUUUGAAGUAUAUAAACAUGAGAUUUUAUACAUAGCACACAGUUCUGGGGGGCUAAGUCUUUAUAGAAGAUCAACCAGGAGGUUCUAUAUUUCAUAAGUAAUAUUCAUUUUCUGAUACUGCUCAAUUUUGUUUCGAAAGAAUUUUCUCAAUGGGAAAAAACUGGAACAACGCCUGAUUUCAAGGAACGCUGUUAGACAUAUAUGUUAUGUGAUAAUCUCUAUCGUAUAUUAUUGAAAUAGGAAAAUCAUUUUAUAUUUUUGAUCAAUAUAUUUUCACUGGCUA
Molecule: long non-coding RNA, 345 nt
Organism: Coccinella septempunctata (seven-spotted ladybird)
Lineage: Eukaryota; Metazoa; Arthropoda; Insecta; Coleoptera; Coccinellidae
Exons: 2
Source: RefSeq, a predicted model, not a curated record